This 405-nucleotide ribosomal RNA is filed under the name bacterium. Its description in RNAcentral is "partial 16S ribosomal RNA". It matches the Rfam family "Bacterial small subunit ribosomal RNA", at positions 355 to 776 of the family's 1533-position model. The record is from RNAcentral.
UGAGGAAUAUUGCACAAUGGGCGAAAGCCUGAUGCAGCAACGCCGCGUGCGGGACGAAGGCCUUCGGGUCGUAAACCGCUUUUCUGAGGGACGAGCAAGGACGGUACCUCAGGAAUAAGUCUCGGCUAACUACGUGCCAGCAGCCGCGGUAAAACGUAGGAGGCGAGCGUUAUCCGGAUUUACUGGGCGUAAAGCGCACGCAGGUGGCCGUGUAAGUCGGACAUGAAAGCUCCUGGCUUAACUGGGAUAGGUGGUUUGAAACUGCAUGGCUUGAGGUUGGGAGAGGGACGUGGAAUGCACGGUGUAGUGGUGGAAUGCGUAGAUAUCGGGAGGAACACCAGUGGCGCAAGCGGCGUCCUGGCCCACACCUGACGCUGAGGUGCGAAAGCGUGGGGAGCAAACAGG